CGACUGCUAAUACCCAAUGAGCCGAGAGGUAAAAGUUAUAUCGCCUGAAGAGGAGCUCGCGUCCGAUUAGCUAGUUGGUGGGGUAAGAGCUUACCAAGGCAACGAUCGGUAGCUGGUCUGAGAGGAUGAGCAGCCACACUGGGACUGAGACACGGCCCAGACUCCUACGGGAGGCAGCAGUGGGGAAUUUUCCGCAAUGGGCGAAAGCCUGACGGAGCAAUACCGCGUGAGGGAGGAAGGCUUUUGGGUUGUAAACCUCUUUUUUCAAGGAAGAAGCAAGCGACGGUACUUGAAGAAUCAGCAUCGGCUAACUCCGUGCCAGCAGCCGCGGUAAUACGGAGGAUGCAAGCGUUAUCCGGAAUUAUUGGGCGUAAAGCGUCCGCAGGUGGUUGAUCAAGUCUGCUGUUAAAGACAGAAGCUUAACUUCUGGCAGGCAGUGGAAACUGGUAGACUAGAGUACGGUAGGGGUUGAGGGAAUUCCCAGUGUAGCGGUGAAAUGCGUAGAUAUUGGGAAGAACACCAGUGGCGAAGGCGCUCAACUGGGCCGUAACUGACACUGAGGGACGAAAGCUAGGGGAGCGAAAGGGAUUAGAUACCCCUGUAGUCCUAGCUGUAAACGAUGAACACUAGGCGUUGCUUGUAUCGACCCGAGCAGUGCCGUAGCCAACGCGUUAAGUGUUCCGCCUGGGGAGUACGCACGCAAGUGUGAAACUCAAAGGAAUUGACGGGGGCCCGCACAAGCGGUGGAGUAUGUGGUUUAAUUCGAUGCAACGCGAAGAACCUUACCAGGACUUGACAGUUCGCGAAUCUGGGGGAAACUUCAGAGUGCCUUAGGGAGCGCGGAAACAGGUGGUGCAUGGCUGUCGUCAGCUCGUGUCGUGAGAUGUUGGGUUAAGUCCCGCAACGAGCGCAACCCUCGUUCUUAGUUGCCAGCAUUAAGUUGGGCACUUUAGGAAGACUGCCGGUGACAAACCGGAGGAAGGUGGGGAUGACGUCAAGUCGGCAUGCCCCUUACGUCCUGGGCUACACACGUACUACAAUGGUUGGGACAAAGGGCAGCGAGCUCGCGAGAGUAAGCGAAUCUCAGCAAACCCAGCCUCAGUUCAGAUUGCAGGCUGCAACUCGCCUGCAUGAAGGAGGAAUCGCUAGUAAUCGCAGGUCAGCAUACUGCGGUGAAUUCGUUCCCGGCCUGUACACACCGCCCGUCACACCAUGAGU
Molecule: ribosomal RNA, 1218 nt
Filed under: uncultured cyanobacterium
Lineage: Bacteria; Bacillati; Cyanobacteriota
Description: bacterial SSU rRNA
Rfam family: Bacterial small subunit ribosomal RNA
Source: RNAcentral